UACGUAGGGGGCUAGCGUUGUCCGGAUUUAUUGGGCGUAAAGGGCUCGUAGGCGGUCUGUUGCGUCGGGAGUGAAAACUUACAGCUUAACUGUGAGCGUGCUUCCGAUACGGGCAGACUUGAGGUAUUCAGGGGAGAACGGAAUUCCUGGUGUAGCGGUGAAAUGCGCAGAUAUCAGGAGGAACACCGGUGGCGAAGGCGGUUCUCUGGGAAUAUCCUGACGCUGAGGAGCGAAAGUGUGGGGAGCGAACAGG
RNAcentral lists this ribosomal RNA (253 nucleotides) under uncultured bacterium. RNAcentral describes it as "partial 16S ribosomal RNA". It matches the Rfam family "Bacterial small subunit ribosomal RNA", at positions 524 to 776 of the family's 1533-position model. The record is from RNAcentral.